UCCAUUCUCUGCCUACAGGAAACAAAGAUUGAGGACCGGUUGGCUGCCACUGUCAGAGAUCUGGGAGGAAGCACAUUAGAGGGCUGCACUGUUCUCCCAACCAUGGGCACUAGGGGAGGUGAUGCAAUCCUAUGGGACAAGAACAUUGUUAGUUUUACAUCACACGCAAUUGGCUGCUUUUCGAUCACAGGAAAGGUCUCGGUGCUGCAUGAUGGAUCUUGGUUCUGGCUGACGUCAGACAACGGACCGGUGGAUGACACGCGCAAAGACACCUCCCUGGCCGAGCUUGCUCAUGCCGCCCCUCCCCUGGGAGAGCCGUGGUUGGUCAAUGGAGACUUUAACAUCAUUUACGAAGCCCGUGACAAGAACAACCUCAACCUGAACAAGAGGAUUAUGGGGAUGUUUAGAUCAGCAAUUGACAAAGCAGGCCUAAGAGAGGUUAAGUGCGAAAAUAGAAGAUUUACUUGGACAAAUGAGAGAGAAAAUCCAACGAUGGUUAGCAUUGAUAAAGUUUUCUGCAACAUGGAAUGGGAAGCUCUCUUCCCCUGCUUCAUGCUCAUGGUUGCGAUAAUGGCCUGCUUGGAUCACCGCCCUCUCCUGAUGGCGAACACUGCUGCCCCGCGUAGAAGGACGGCCUUUCGCUUUGAAAAUUUCUGGCCGAGCUUCCCCCACUUGCAGGAGACUGUUGCUAGAGCUUGA
Molecule: ribosomal RNA, 699 nt
Filed under: Triticum aestivum (bread wheat)
Lineage: Eukaryota; Viridiplantae; Streptophyta; Magnoliopsida; Poales; Poaceae
Description: partial small subunit ribosomal RNA
Source: RNAcentral